UUUUUGGGGAAAUUUUCCCCAAUGGGGGAAACCCUGCCGGACCAAUACCGCGUGAGGGAGGAAGGCUUUUGGGUGGUAAACCUCUUUUAUUAGGGAAGAAUUUGACGGUACCUAAUGAAUAAGCAUCGGCUAACUCCGUGCCAGCAGCCGCGGUAAUACGGAGGAUGCAAGCGUUAUCCGGAAUGAUUGGGCGUAAAGCGUCCGCAGGCGGUUUUGUAAGUCUGCUGUCAAAGCGUCAUGCUUAACAUGAUACAGGCAGUGGAAACUAUGAGACUAGAGUACGUUAGGGGCAGAGGGAAUUCCCAGUGUAGCGGUGAAAUGGGUAGAGAUUGGGAAGAACACCGGUGGCGAAAGCGCUCUGCUAGGACAUGUACUGACGCUGCAGGACGAAAAGC
This 395-nucleotide ribosomal RNA is filed under the name Calothrix gardneri VB516208. RNAcentral's name for it is "bacterial SSU rRNA". It matches the Rfam family "Bacterial small subunit ribosomal RNA", at positions 350 to 761 of the family's 1533-position model. The record is from RNAcentral. Lineage: Bacteria; Bacillati; Cyanobacteriota; Cyanophyceae; Nostocales; Calotrichaceae.